AGAAGUCUGGUUGGGCCCUAGCUCACGGUUUCCCCCUACAGGUGACCGUGGCGAGACAGGCCGCGGCCAGAUGUGGGGCGCAAGGACCGGCGCCUUGCUCCGGGUGUGGGGGCUGUGGCCCGCAGGGGUCCGCGGGCGGAGACCUCUAGGCUGCAAUGCUGCGUCUCUGGCCGGAAACAAUUCCCCCCAGUGUUGGAACUGCGGCGGCCCAGGGGUCCCCAAGCGGGGAGACGGGUUCUUCUGCCCACAGUGCCGCGCGCUGCAGCCACCUGACCUCACUCGAGAUUACUUCAGCCUCAUGGACUGCAACCGUGCCUUCGGAGUGGACACAGCGAAGCUCCAGAAUAGGUACCAGCAGCUACAGCGUCUUGUCCACCCUGAUUUCUUCAGCCAGAGGUCUCAGACUGAAAAAGACUUCUCAGAGAAGCAUGCGACCCUGGUGAAUGAUGCCUAUAAGACCCUCCUGGCCCCGCUGAGCAGGGGACUAUACCUUCUAAAGCUCCAUGGAGUAGAGAUUCCCGAAGGGACAGAUUAUGCAAUGGACCAGCAAUUCCUCAUGGAAAUAAUGGAAAUCAAUGAAAAACUUGCAGAAGCUCAAAGUGAAGCUGCUAUGAAAGAGAUUGAAUCUAUUGUCAGAGCUAAACAGAAGGAACUGAGUGACAAUGUGAGCAAAGCUUUUGAACAAGGCGAAGAAUGAGGUGGCCAUUUGUAGAAAUGACCCAGGAGACUAUGUUUUAUAUCCAAUUGAGACUAUAAUGAGGGCAAGGGAAAUGGAGAAAGAUGAAGAGAAUUUGGAAGCAUUUCACAAAUAAAGCCCAUAGGAAUUUCUAACUGAUUAAGUAUGGGGGUGAACAAGAAGGAGGCAUCAAUGAUGACACUUA
This is an RNA transcript of Leopardus geoffroyi (Geoffroy's cat), 881 nucleotides long. It is a transcript of the gene named HscB mitochondrial iron-sulfur cluster cochaperone, with no coding region annotated. The transcript is spliced from 7 exons. NCBI's taxonomy places the organism in Eukaryota, Metazoa, Chordata, Mammalia, Carnivora, Felidae. The record is from RefSeq and is a predicted model, not a curated record.